GGUGCGUUCGGACGACCACAGCGGCUGGACAGCUGAGCCAGCAGUAGCUGUCAGACGUCACCGCUGGAAGCCAGCCGCUGAGAGAUUUACUAAGCUUUCCCUAUCACGGCUGGAUACAACCACUCAGCCGGUUUCUGCUGACAGCCAGCCGCUAUGGUCGUCCGAACGCACCAAAGAAAAAGAACCUUAGUAGUUAGUAGAAAGGAAAGCAAUUUUAGAUUCCAACCGUGAAAUAUUUAUCAUCUAGUGGGAAAACCGCAGUAAUUGUGCCUUCAAACGGGCAAUUAAGGACAACCCCACCAAAAACCAUUAUAAUUAUAAAUUGAAAUGAUUAAAAAUGUUUGUACCUAUGUAAUUGUACAUGUAAAGCUGGAAAUUCAGGCAUACCAUGGAAAAUUUGAAAAAAAUAAGCACCACAGACAUCAAACAACAGUGGGGAUAAUUUAAAAAACAAUAAUACAACAUAGUCAACAACUACCAGUCUGCUGAUAAAUGGGCUACUGAUAUUGUACUAAAUUAUGAUUUAGCUCUAUUUUACUCAAAUAAUGUUGAAGUAAGCUACAGUAACUCUGUUGAAAUAUCUUUAGCUAUGCUAAACCAAACUGGAGAAGCAUGAAAAAAGCUGAUGUGACUGCAAGUAACUGGGACAAUUUAUUGCCAUUUAUUUACUUAUCAUAAAAAUAAAAGCCCAAGUUGGCCACUUAAAGUCAACCAAUUGUAUAAUUCCAAUUUUAAAUAAAAUACUGUACCCUUCCGUGGGAAAAAAUUAUGAAUCAGUUGCUUUAAAUAUGUAUGAAAAAAUAAGUCUAAGUAUGUAUGUAUGUAUUAUCAGUUUUAUUCCAAUUAUAUAAGUAAAAAACUUGUUUUAAAA
Molecule: long non-coding RNA, 871 nt
Organism: Diabrotica virgifera virgifera (western corn rootworm)
Lineage: Eukaryota; Metazoa; Arthropoda; Insecta; Coleoptera; Chrysomelidae
Exons: 2
Source: RefSeq, a predicted model, not a curated record